UGAGGUAGUAGGUUGUAUAGUUUGGGGCUGUGCCCUGCUCUGGGAUAACUAUACAACCUACUGUCUUUCC
This 70-nucleotide microRNA precursor is filed under the name Otolemur garnettii (small-eared galago). Its description in RNAcentral is "let-7a-1 stem-loop (oga-let-7a-1)". Its record names the gene oga-let-7a-1. It matches the Rfam family "let-7 microRNA precursor family", at positions 7 to 81 of the family's 84-position model. Rfam says of the family: This family represents the microRNAs (miRNA) let-7 and mir-98. let-7 was identified from a study of developmental timing in C. elegans, and was later shown to be part of a much larger class of non-coding RNAs termed miRNAs. The extents of the hairpin precursors are not generally known and are estimated based on hairpin prediction. The record is from miRBase by way of RNAcentral. Lineage: Eukaryota; Metazoa; Chordata; Mammalia; Primates; Galagidae.